RNAcentral lists this ribosomal RNA (153 nucleotides) under Actinophytocola sp. Its description in RNAcentral is "partial 23S ribosomal RNA". It matches the Rfam family "Bacterial large subunit ribosomal RNA", at positions 2774 to 2925 of the family's 2925-position model. Lineage: Bacteria; Bacillati; Actinomycetota; Actinomycetes; Pseudonocardiales; Pseudonocardiaceae. The record is from RNAcentral.
AAAGCAUCUAAGCGGGAAGCCUGUUCCUAGAUGAGGUCUCCCACCCGUCAUGGGUUAAGGCCCCCACCAGACCAGUGGGUUGAUAGGCCAGAAAUGGAAGCGCAGCAAUGCGUGGAGUUGACUGGUACUAAUAGGCCGAGGACUUGCCCACAA